AUGGAGAACAAAAUUUUGGUAGAUUUUUUGAGGAAUUUGGAGGAGGAUCGAACGGCUCUUAUACCAAUUGUUAGGGUCCAGCUACUAGUUUCACUCAAUCACCAUGGUUUGGCUACAAAUCUAGAAUUACAGGAGGAGGAAGCAGAGGAAGGAAGGAGACGGAGGAGGAAGAACACGCUACAGAGAGGGAGUUCGCCAGCCAGGCCGAAGCCUUCCGUCCAAGCCGAGUCACUCGUUGCCAUCUCCACCAUAUUUGUAGUCGCUGCUUUCCAUGGCUUUUGUGCAGGCCCAAAGCCCAAGAGCAGCCCACCGUGCAGUCCAGGUAGUAGUGCAGGGAAGGUCGCUGACAUAUGCAAGGUGAUGUUACUCUGGGCGUCGGUGCAGUUGAUUUGGGCGUGA
Molecule: ribosomal RNA, 399 nt
Filed under: Triticum aestivum (bread wheat)
Lineage: Eukaryota; Viridiplantae; Streptophyta; Magnoliopsida; Poales; Poaceae
Description: partial small subunit ribosomal RNA
Source: RNAcentral